AUACGUAGGUGGCGAGCGUUGUCCGGAAUUACUGGGCGUAAAGGGUGCGUAGGCGGGUUUUUAAGUCAGAUGUGAAACCCCCGGGCUUAACCUGGGGAUUGCAUUUGAAACUGGGAGCCUAGAGUGCAGGAGAGGGAAGCGGAAUUCCUAGUGUAGCGGUGAAAUGCGUAGAUAUUAGGAAGAACACCAGUGGCGAAGGCGGCUUUCUGGACUGUAACUGACGCUGAGGCACGAAAGCGUGGGGAGCAAACAGGAUUAGAUACCCUGGUAGUCCACGCUGUAAACGAUGAGUGCUAGGUGUAGGGGGUGUCAUGCCUUCUGUGCCGGAGCAAACGCAAUAAGCACUCCGCCUGGGGAGUACGGUCGCAAGACUAAA
RNAcentral lists this ribosomal RNA (376 nucleotides) under uncultured bacterium. RNAcentral describes it as "bacterial SSU rRNA". It matches the Rfam family "Bacterial small subunit ribosomal RNA", at positions 523 to 898 of the family's 1533-position model. The record is from RNAcentral.